RNAcentral lists this small nuclear RNA (282 nucleotides) under Anolis carolinensis (green anole). Its description in RNAcentral is "7SK RNA". It matches the Rfam family "7SK RNA". Rfam says of the family: 7SK was discovered as an abundant small nuclear RNA in the mid-70s but a possible function has only recently been suggested. Two independent studies have found that 7SK RNA binds the CDK9/cyclin T complex (known as elongation factor P-TEFb). The record is from Rfam by way of RNAcentral. Lineage: Eukaryota; Metazoa; Chordata; Lepidosauria; Squamata; Anolidae.
GGACAAAAGGACGACCUGGCUGCAACAUCUGUCACCUCAUUGAUCACCAGGGUUGAAUUGGCUGAUCUGGCUGGCUAGGUGGAUGUCCCCUUCUUUCCUCACCACUCUUUGUGCCACACAACUAGACUUUAUUAUUAUUAUUAUUAUUAUUAUUAUUAUUAUUAUUAUUAUUAUUAUUAUUAAUUCAUUUCUAUCCCACUUUUCUCCCGUGGGUGGGAUUCAAAGCAGAGUACAAAUUAUAAAAUUCAUACAAGUACAUUGGACAGCAAUACAGUGUUCCCU